RNAcentral lists this ribosomal RNA (244 nucleotides) under uncultured bacterium. Its description in RNAcentral is "partial 16S ribosomal RNA". It matches the Rfam family "Bacterial small subunit ribosomal RNA", at positions 563 to 807 of the family's 1533-position model. The record is from RNAcentral.
AAGAGUGAGUAGGCGGAUAUUAAAGUCAGAGGUAAAAUAUAGGGGCUCAACCCCUACCAGCCUUUGAAACUUAAUAUCUUGAGUAUAGGAGAGGAAAGUGGAAUUCCAAGUGUAGAGGUGAAAUUCGUAGAUAUUUGGAAGAAUACCAGUGGCGAAGGCGACUUUCUGGACUAAAACUGACGCUGAUGCACGAAAGCAUGGGUAGCAAACAGGAUUAGAUACCCUGGUAGUCCAUGCCGUAAAC